Long non-coding RNA from Prinia subflava (tawny-flanked prinia), 3714 nucleotides. RefSeq lists it as uncharacterized. The record is from RefSeq and is a predicted model, not a curated record. NCBI's taxonomy places the organism in Eukaryota, Metazoa, Chordata, Aves, Passeriformes, Cisticolidae. The transcript is spliced from 2 exons.
UGUCCUUUAUGUUCCACUAAUCCUGAGCUGAUCAGAAAAGAUCACUGCAGUAAACCCUAUAGUUUAGCAACAUCCUGCCUGCUCUAUGGGCCAUGACUUUGGCUCUGCAAUUCCCAAGCACACCUCACCUUACAGCUUCAAAGCUGUGUGGAGGUCUCUUCAAACAACAAGUUUAUGGUUCUGCUCCACAGUGCUUGCUUGCACAAUAGUGAUGCAUUUCCAGUUACGCAUUUGCGUGUCAGUGGCAUGCCUCUGCAACUUAGGAAUGGAAAUAGAGAGGUGGAGUAAGGACCUUUCCAAAACUCUACCAGCAAGAGGCACUUCAGCUGGUAAGACUCACAAAAUCCUCUCUGGCAGCUCAAGGAGACAUAAAUCAGCCCUUGCAAAGAUGUUCACAGCAACAUGAGCCAUCCCAAAAUGAACCCCACCAAAACACAGUUUCAGUCAGAUGAACUACCCAAACUUCCCUUCAGGCAGUCUCAUGGCAGCACUGCUGGUGCAAGAAAGAGCUGUCAAUAGAAGGAUGUGAGACAGAAAGGCAGCAUCCUUAGUCAUAAAUCUCACUGGGCCACCGUACUCACUUCCUGAAGCUGCCACAUUGAUCCUCCUUUCUGGGAAAUUAGUUUCAGCCUAUAGGAACUACUGAGACACAGAAUUUGUUUUUGUAAGAGUACCGUGUAGUUGGAGGCAUUCUAUUUUGAAAUGAAAAUGUUUAAUCUGCUAAGAACUAGGAGGAAACAUAACAUUAAAAAAAGAAAAAAAAAGUAUGCAAAAUACCAUAAUUAGACUUCUCACGGGUGUAACUCUUCAGGUGUAGCUUAACUGAAAACCAUACGGCACACUAGAAUAGAGUAAUUUAUUUAAAAUUCUUCCUUUGCUUAGAUCUUCUUUUUAUUUAAAAUUUGUCCCAUAUUGACAAUUACAAGAUAUGGAAAGAACUGUCUAUAGCAUUCCUCUUCCAUAAGGCCAAAACUUUUGCUUUCCAACCAACUAUGAAGUGUCUAAGAAAAGAGAAGUUUUAUGCUUUCUUCGGCCAUCACACCAGCUUGUUCCUACUGCCUGAAAGACGAAUAGCAUGUCUAGAUAACUGAACUCUGACAAUCAGAAAAUCAGACUAGUUAGUGAACUGUCAUUUUUUUAAAGCAAGAAGACCCUGUCAAUUCUACCUGUCAAGUGAGUUUGGACAGAUUGAUAAACAUUUCAAGAAAACAGAAUAAAACCUGUUCUCUCCACGAAGCAGACUUUUGUUUAACUUCUCUACUUACAAGCACAUGAUAAGAGAGCACAGCACAAGACUUUCCACGGGACCAGAUUUUAUUACCAAAACUAUUCCAGAUCUUUUGCUCAAGCUACUGCUGUGAAUGGGAAUGACUUGAAAUUUGGUUUCAUGGAUUUCCUGGCAGAUAAGAUAGCAUUUAUGAAUUGCCUUAGCAUUCCUACAUUUGAAGCAAUAUGAAGUAUGAUUGGCAGCAACCCAAUUUCAUUAUUCUUAGAUGAGUCAAUAAGUGUGGAAAGAGAAAUGAAAUGGGCAGCCAAUCAACACACACAAAAAAAUCAGAUCUUCUGAGGCCAAGAAAGUAUUUAUAUGCUGAUGACUCAACUUCUGCAGCAGUGUCUGCAGCAAGAACAGGAAAUAUACUAUUGAACCCUCUUAUGACAACAACUUUGAUGUGAAAGGCCUGAAUAGCUCAUUCUGCCUGCCGUGAUUCAGAGAGCCGGAGCUGUAAUCCUGGAUCUCUGCAGAAUGCACUCACAAGAGCUUCUGAGCUCAUUAAAGGACAUCAGAAAUACAAGGGUCCUGCAGGACACAUGCAUUUAUGGGCUUUGCAAGUUCAAAACGAAUACAGCAGAGCAGAAGAGGCCUUUUAAUCCUGCUUAUUAGCAAAUGAGAGUUUCUGACAUAACCCAAAGGCUCUGGCAGACAGACACCACACAGCUGAAGGACAGACACUGCAACACAAUGGAUUCCUAGCACUGAUACCCCUGGCAAAUGACCUGCACUGGAGAAGCAGCAUUCUUGCUUUCAGGGAAGAAGCCACCUUGCUCAGACUAAUGCUUACCCUUCAGAAGACAUGUCAUCUUCCGUGAAACAAAACGAGGUGCUGAUAGCCUGGAUGAAGUAGCUGGAAGAAAGGGUAAGAGAGCAUGCAAGCUCACAGUGGAAUGGAUGUACUUGAAACCCAAACAAAAAGCAGAAGCUUGCAAGCACUAAGGUGCGUGCAUUAUUUACUGCAUGCCACUGGACUGAGCAGGUUUCUUAGCCGGCCAGAGUUUACCCAUUUCCCCUACCAAGCAGCAAGAAAUGUAAGGCACUGACAAGCAGGGUGAGAGUGGACGGAGCUGGGAUGCCCUCCUUCAUGAAACUGUGUGUGCCCAGCUCACAGCCAGAGGCUGGGUGAGCUGGGCAGCCUUUCUCUGGUUGUGGUACCCAUGUGGGGGGACAGACUGCUCCAACACAGCACAGGAACCCAGGUUACGAGCACUUGGAAAGGGUGUCUGUGCAGCAAAGCCUUCCAAGCACCAUUAAAGUUUUAUUUUUCAGAUUAUACUAUAAUGAUAUCCUAACCAUGAGAAGUCAAAUUUCCCAUCAUGUCAUGAUUUCAUCACAUUAAUUUCUCUCGCAUCCCCAACUCUCACUAUGUGCCAAACAAUCAUGGCUCUUUUUUGCUGUGCUUUAUCAUCUCCAAGCUUCUCCUGUAAUCUGUAAUCCACUGCCAACUAACAUUUGUACUCCACUCCCCACAAAUACCACCCAGGAAGAGAGUAGAGACAGUAUUUUAUGCUCACUUAAGCACAACUAUCCUGUUUUGGCACUCAAAGACAGAUGGGACAUUUAAAGCAUGCAAGUCGAAGGCACAAAUUUACAUCACACUCUGGUCACCAACACAGAAAUUCACCCCAUUACCUACAAUCAGCAUUAAGCAAACCAUUCAGGGCAGAUUGUCCUCUAUAAAACAUCAUGUUAAGGCCACUUUUUAAGAAGAAUGGCUAUAAUUGCUAAAUAUUUACAAAAUAUUGAUUGUUGAAAGGAUAUGCAAAUAUUACUCUUUCUCCAUUCAUGGGACAUGAUUGGACAGCAUUAAUGAUCCAAGUCCAUAACCACAAUUUCCCAAGUGGGGACUCUGGGAUACCAGCAGUUGCAGUCACAUGAUUUUUUAUUCUUUUUUUAAAUCAUUUUUUUGGUAUUGUGCUUCUUUAAAAUGAAAAUAGAUUAUUCAUAAUUCAUCUCUCAUCCACUGACUGAAGAACCUUCAUUUAAAGAAAAAAAGCAUUCACUUGAAUGUUAAGAGCAUGCAUGAAUCAAAUAUGAAACUAAAAGACAUUUAAUGAUAUUUGCACAAACACUUUCCAGCAAUGACUCUGAUUUUAAUUAUCCAGUGGAUGAACCCUGCCUGUGAACAACUCAAAUGGUAUUUUGCAGCCAAUUCCUAAUUCUGUGGUCCAUGUCUCCUAGACCAAUCUAGCUUUGCAGCUUUUGCACAAAUAUUUUUCAUUAUGCACCCUAAUUUUACAGCCCCUCAUUUUUCUCCUCUGCUUUUUCAUUUCUAAACGUUCUUUGUUUCUAUCUAUACAAUCAACCACAGUGCACACAAAAUAUAAUGUGGGAUAUAAAAUUGUGAAAAUAAAAUCUGGGAAAGUUGCAAGCAAUUUUUAUAGCAAAAAAAUACAUGUUCGAGAAGACAUAAAUAAAGAUUUUAAUAAGCCUCAUACAAA